Molecule: long non-coding RNA, 430 nt
Organism: Vespa mandarinia (Asian giant hornet)
Lineage: Eukaryota; Metazoa; Arthropoda; Insecta; Hymenoptera; Vespidae
Source: RefSeq, a predicted model, not a curated record
UAAUAAUAUAGACUCUGGACGAAAAGGGUGCCACGUGAUUGGCUAGUAAAGCGAUUAUAUGUAAGACAAAAAUAAACCUUGAAUUAGAACGGGGUUAGAGAGAUAGAUUAUUCGUUCGUAUUACGAUAUUAAAUCUGACCAACGUAAAAGUCAAACCACGUGGACGAAUUUAAAGACGUAAAAAUCUACGGCACGUAUGGCAUCAGAAAAAAAAAAAAAAAAAAAAUUUCACUUCUAACAUUUUUCUUUUAUCCGAUCUCCUACAAAUUUAGGAUCUAUUUGUGGUACGUUAGCAUAAAUCUUUUCUCGGCGUUAACGAAUGGAACGAAACGGAACGGAACGGAAACGCACGUUAAGUAAAAUUUGCGACGGGAUCUACCUUACCGAGGGUAAGCAAAAUUGCAAUAAGAAGUUGAGAAGUUUUCUUUUA